GUCAUGAUUGACAUGUCUUUAUGCAACGACUACUGCCCUUUGCAUUUGCGGAGCUACUUCCAACAAACGUACAUGAAGCACUUGCAAGCAUUGGAGCAUUUUUCAGGGAUCUGAGCACACGCACUCUUAAAGAAGAAGUUGUGGAAUAGCUUCAUGAGAACAUUCUCAUCUUAUUGUGCAACUUGGAGAAGAUAUUUCCUCUAGGAUUUUUUUAACGUCAUGGAGCAUCUAGCUAUCCACCUCCCAUAUGAGGCAUUGCUUUGUGGACCUGUACAUUACGGAUGGAUGUAUCAGUAUGAGCGAGCCAUGAAAUAUUUGAAGGAAAAAGCAAAGAACCUCGC
Molecule: long non-coding RNA, 341 nt
Organism: Brassica rapa (field mustard)
Lineage: Eukaryota; Viridiplantae; Streptophyta; Magnoliopsida; Brassicales; Brassicaceae
Source: RefSeq, a predicted model, not a curated record